Molecule: ribosomal RNA, 516 nt
Filed under: uncultured Entrophosporaceae
Lineage: Eukaryota; Fungi; Glomeromycota; Glomeromycetes; Entrophosporales; Entrophosporaceae
Description: SSU rRNA
Rfam family: Eukaryotic small subunit ribosomal RNA
Source: RNAcentral
AGCAGCCGCGGUAAUUCCAGCUCCAAUAGCGUAUAUUAAAGUUGUUGCAGUUAAAAAGCUCGUAGUUGAAUUUCGGGAUUGGCGCAUCGGUCGUGCCUCACGGGGUAUGAACUGGUGCAGUCAAUUUCUCACCUUCUGGAGAACCGCGAUGUCCUUAAUUGGAUGCCGCGGGGAACCAGGACCUUUACUUUGAAAAAUUAGAGUGUUUAAAGCAGGCAUUUUUGCUUGAAUACAUUAGCAUGGAAUAAUAAAAUAGGACGGCAUGGUUCUAUUUUGUUGGUUUCUAGGACCACCGUAAUGAUUAAUAGGGAUAGUUGGGGGCAUUAGUAUUCAAUUGUCAGAGGUGAAAUUCUUGGAUUUAUUGAAGACUAACUACUGCGAAAGCAUUUGCCAAGGAUGUUUUCAUUAAUCUAAGAACGAAAGUUAAGGGGACCGAAGACGAUCAGAUACCGUCGUAGUCUUAACCAUAAACUAUGCCGACUAGGAAUCAGACGAUGUUAAUUUUUAAUGUACUCG